Molecule: transfer RNA, 82 nt
Filed under: bacterium
Lineage: Bacteria
Description: tRNA-Leu
Rfam family: tRNA
About the family: Transfer RNA (tRNA) molecules are approximately 80 nucleotides in length. Their secondary structure includes four short double-helical elements and three loops (D, anti-codon, and T loops). Further hydrogen bonds mediate the characteristic L-shaped molecular structure. tRNAs have two regions of fundamental functional importance: the anti-codon, which is responsible for specific mRNA codon recognition, and the 3' end, to which the tRNAs corresponding amino acid is attached (by aminoacyl-tRNA synthetases). tRNAs cope with the degeneracy of the genetic code in two manners: having more than one tRNA (with a specific anti-codon) for a particular amino acid; and 'wobble' base-pairing, i.e. permitting non-standard base-pairing at the 3rd anti-codon position.
Source: RNAcentral
GCCCGGGUGGCGGAACUGGCAGACGCGCACGACUCAAAAUCGUGUGAGGAAACUCAUGGGAGUUCGACUCUCCCCCCGGGCA